RNAcentral lists this ribosomal RNA (481 nucleotides) under uncultured bacterium. Its description in RNAcentral is "bacterial SSU rRNA". It matches the Rfam family "Bacterial small subunit ribosomal RNA", at positions 36 to 507 of the family's 1533-position model. The record is from RNAcentral.
ACUGGCGGCAUGCUUUACACAUGCAAGUCGAACGGCAGCACGGGUGCUUGCACCUGGUGGCGAGUGGCGGACGGGUGAGUAAUACAUCGGAACGUAUCCAGAAGAGGGGGAUAACGCAUCGAAAGAUGUGCUAAUACCGCAUAUUCUCUGAGGAGGAAAGCAGGGGAUCGAAAGACCUUGCGCUUUGGGAGCGGCCGAUGUCUGAUUAGCUAGUUGGUGGGGUAAAGGCCUACCAAGGCGACGAUCAGUAGUUGGUCUGAGAGGACGACCAGCCACACUGGGACUGAGACACGGCCCCAGACUCCUACGGGAGGCAGCAGUGGGGAAUUUUGGUACAAUGGGCGCAAGCCUGAUCCAGCAAUGCCGCGUGAGUGAAGAAGGCCUUCGGGUUGUAAAGCUCUUUCAGUCGAGAAGAAAAAGCUGCAGUGAAUAACUGUAGUUCAUGACGGUAUCGACAGAAGAAGCACCGGCUAACUACGUG